AAUCCCCAAAAAGAAGAGCAGCUGCCCUUUCCCAAAGAUCUCAUUCCCCUUCUACAAGAGAGACUCACCCACCUCCACCCGAAGACCGGCCGCACCUCCCCAAAAAUGGAGAACUCUCCAUCGUCUCUCUUAUCUCAACUGAGAGAUAACAACCACUCUCUCAUCUCUCUCGAUCGAGCCUAAUUCCACCCCACCGAAUCUCUCAAUUAGCCGACGCCCAACCUUAUUCCGCCUCUGCCAUUGCCCAGCAACCACCGUCAAAAACUCGUUGUUGCCGAACGGCCACCAAACAUCCUCGAGUCUGUCCCAAAGCCAGCAUCAAAAAUCCAAUGAAACACUAUCGAAAAGCAGCUCAAAGCAUCCAUAAAGCUCACUCCAAAAUCACUAAAACACCAUAAUGUUUGUCCAAGGUUAAGUUAGUUGGGUUCGAUCGGUUUCGAGGUCGCCGACGCGGUUCAUUAGCUUGAUCCAAAUCUUCUUGUGUUUUGCGCACAAAAUUCGUUUGGAGCAUUUUGUUAAUGAAAUCAGAAAGUUUACACAUCACUAAAGCCUUCAUUUGGCGUCUUCUGUCUAUUCUCGCACAGCUAGGUAUUUAUUCUUAAUCCAUAUACUCAAAUUUUAUACUAAUUUGGAUCCUGAUUGUGCCAUUAAACUUGUUGAUUUUGAUUUCACCUGUUAUAUCUGUUUUAUAACACGGAUUGGUGUUGAAUUCAAUUUAUAGUUAUGUCAUCCAUCGUUGAACACAUGAUGUGUUACUUGAGAUUUAAUGAUUGUGAUUUAAAUAUUUUUUUACAUGUUGUCAAUGUGAAAUAUAGGCAAAAACAGGAACAAAAAUGACUUCACGUAGUAACGAAAAAUUGUGAUUCUAAUGCCUUGAGCUAUGAACUAUUUUGGCAAGCAUUUGUGUUGUCUCAAGUAGUUCGUUUAAGUGAGCUUAGUAAUUUAGAGAGGUGAUUUUGUAAAGAAUUAUUACUGUACUAUUCAUUUAGGACCAUUGAAGUUGUGUAUUUGCAAAUGAACGUUUGGGUCGAGUUAAUUCGGACUGACAUGCUCCAAGAUAAAGUCAUUGAACUGGUCUAUUUUUUAUUUAUUUUUUUGUGCUAAGAAAAACUGACAAUGUAAUAAGAUUGGAUUUAGUAUAGUUCGUAAGUAUUUGUUUCUUUAGUUUACUGUAUGUAAUUACUAGUAUUACUUUAAUUUUUCUACUUAAUUAACUUAAGUGAGUUAUAGUUAAAUAAAUAUGAAAAAUCAAGGGUGGCCACAGAUAACUAUUGAACUAAUUCUAGUUUUCAUAACUUUGGUCCUUUACAAUUAGCUAAAAUUAGUAUAGAAAAAAUAACUUGAACAUCGUAGUUUGCUUUAGGCGCGUUUCUAAACUACUAUCGUGAUUAUGUACACGUUCGCGUGACAUAAUUAUGAUUCCAAAAUUAAAUCAAGGUACGUGUUCGCGCGACUUUGGCCAAAAAUAAUCUUAAUAAUUAAUAAAGUGUUAUUAAUUGUGUACGCGUGACAUGAUUCUUGACACGCCAAAUAAAAUGAGUACACGUACGCGUGACUCGUUUCAAGAUAAUUCCAUAAUUACGAAUAUUCAAGCAAUCUAAAAGCGGUAAAAGGUAAAAUGCAUAUAGGUUUAAAUUCAUAAUUAAAAUAAUUUAAUUAAGCCAUGUAUGAUUAAAAGCGACCGUGCUAAAACCACGAAACUCGGGAAUGCCUAACACCUUCUCCCGAGUUAACAGAAUUCCUUACUUGGUCUUCUGAUUUUGCAGAGUUUAAACAAAGUCAAUUUCCUCGAUUUGGGAUUUAAAAUAAACUGGUGACUUAGGACACCAUAAAUUAUUCCAAGUGGCGACUCUGAAAUUGAAUAAAUAAUCUCAUUUCGAAUAAUGUCAUUUAACUUGGAAAAACUCCCCUAUCCCCUCGAGAAAAAGGAGGUGUGACAGCUUUGCGACUCUGCUGGGGAUCGAAUCUCUGGUUCAGGGUUUAGAAUUCGAGCUUAUUAAUGUGAUCUAUACUUGACUUUCUUGAUGAUUAAUAUUACUAUAUUUGUGGGCCUAAUGGGCUAAUUGCCGCUCAUUUACCGCUUUGAUAUUGUUUGAACUGCAUUAAACUGUCUUCUUACGCCUCCCUUCCGAGUCUUCUAAAAAUAUGGUGCACAUGUACGCGUGGCCGACUUUUCUGUUAGAGGUCGUACCAAAUAGAACGAGGAUGGAUCAACAACUAGGUCGGGUAGACUUUCGUGCUCCCGGUACAUUACCCCCACCUCGGCUCGAGCUAUCCGCUUGGGUAUGCCAUGUCUAGAACAUACCCCCAGGUUUAAACCUAGAAUAACAUAGCCUCAUGCCGGAUCCCUAGUAGGAACGUUUGUUUGCAUCACGUGCAUUUGACUUUGGGGACUCAACACAGGGGUUGGAUCCGUCUAGGACAGGUGUACCCGAAAUAAAAUACCAUCCUGAUGCACCUUACGUGCUAUUUGUGCAUUUAUUUAUUUUGGCUUGCAAGUUGAUCGGCUAAGGAAAGAAAAUCAAGAGAAAAACCAAGACUGAGGUAGGAGAGAAAAUUUACCCGGUUCUGAAAAAUCCGGUAUUUGGAAGUGUCCCGAAACUCUUCCAAAAUUUUUGAAACAAAAAAAAAAUGAAAAAUAAAUUUCAAAAUGAGUCAAUAUCAUGUUCUCCCAGUUAUGUCAAAAUUGGUCGAACUACGCGGAUCUGAUUCUCACCGGAUAUGAGAUACGUAGGCAAACCUCAUUAGUUCCAACCCACAAUUUUCAAAAAAUCGAAAAAUAUUUUCCUUUACUUCCUUAUUUAGAAAGUCUUUCUUUUAAACCCUGCUUUUUAAAAAAUACAAAAAAUAUUAUCUUUAAUUUCUUCUCAAAAUCCAAAAAUAUUUUCAUUCGUCUUUCGAAAAUUGAAAAGAAAAUUCAAGAUCCAAAAAUAUUUUCCUUUUUCUUUAGAAGUAUUUCUUUCAUAAAUUCAAAAUAAAAGUCCAAAAAUCCAAAAAUAUUUUCUUUCUUCUUUAGAAAUUUUUCUUUUGAAAUUCAAAAAAACAUUCGAAAUUCAAAAAAAAAAAUAGUUUCUUUCUUCUUUAGAAGUCUCUCUUUUCAAAAAAAAAAAAACAAAUCGAAAUCCAAAAAAAAAAUAUUCUUUCUUCUUUAUAAAUCUUUCUUUCGAAAAUUAGAAAAAAAAUUUAAAAUCCAAAAAAAAAGAGAGUUAGUUUAUUUACUUUAUUCCUGAUCUUUCCGAACUAUGCAAGAUCUGAUUCAUGUUCUUACAUGAUACGUAGGCAACCCACAUCAGGUUCGAUCGAAUGGUUUAAAAAAAAGAGAGAAAAAAGGUAUAAGAAAGAGAGUGUUCAUUCUAACAUGUUUAUUAUUUUGAAACAAAAAUCAGGUUAAAGGUGGUCGGUUUGUUGGUUUGCAAUGGCGAGUCCAGGAUCCUAGAGAAAUAAAAGCACUUUCUCAACCGAAGGAAAGGGAACCACUAUUGUUGAUCCAACUAAGGUCACAAAAAGGUAAGUAGACAAGUUGGUAAUAAAAAUCGAGGCAAAUGAUGGCUGACUUCUACCAAUUUUGAGCAGCAGGACAUGCUCUGCCUGGAUGAUCUGUGAUGAUAGGGAGACAUGAGAAUUCGUCCAAGUCCUUUGGUGAAUUAGUUACUGUGAAAGCUCCUAUGUUGUAAUUUUUAAAAUCCGAUAGCCAAUAUGGGGAGCGGUUUGAUCAAAAGGAAAAAUUUGAGUGCUGAAUCCAUAGCAAUAAAAAUGGUUGAAUGCCGCAAUAAUGUUGAUGUGCAAGUCCGUGACCAAGAUAUCGCUUGGUAACUGAAAAGUCACUCCUCUUUAGCCAGGGAGGAGUCUUGGUAGCUUAUUUUGUCGUCUUUUCCGUUAUCUGGGUUGUCCAAGGUUGUAACCCAGAUUUUAGUUUGUUUGUCUUGUCGUCAAAUCC
RNAcentral lists this long non-coding RNA (3937 nucleotides) under Nicotiana tabacum (common tobacco). RNAcentral describes it as "long non-coding RNA (NTAB_LNC000850)". Lineage: Eukaryota; Viridiplantae; Streptophyta; Magnoliopsida; Solanales; Solanaceae. The record is from RNAcentral.